UACGGAGGAUGCAAGCGUUAUCCGGAUUUAUUGGGUUUAAAGGGUGCGCAGGUUGUUUGAUAAGUCAGUGGUGAAAGUCUGUCGCUUAACGGUAGGAUUGCCAUUGAUACUGUUAGACUUGAAUAUGGAUGAGGUAGGCGGAAUGUGUAGUGUAGCGGUGAAAUGCAUAGAUAUUACACAGAACACCGAUUGCGAAGGCAGCUUACUAACCCAUCAUUGACGCUGAGGCACGAAAGCGUGGGGAUCAAACAGGAUUA
Molecule: ribosomal RNA, 257 nt
Filed under: uncultured prokaryote
Description: partial 16S ribosomal RNA
Rfam family: Bacterial small subunit ribosomal RNA
Source: RNAcentral